CAACCACUGAGGUAUCAAGAGAAAGAAAUGACAAAAAAAAAAAAAAGAAGAAGAAGAAGACAGUAUAAUUAUUCCCUGGAUAACAGCAAGUUGAAUACUGCAAAAAAAGAACCAAUGAACUUGAAAACAAGUCAAUAGAAAAAAAAAAAGGCUGAAGAAAAUUUUGAGGAAUGAUUAUUUUCAGCAUGAAAUUAUAUACCUAAAAGUAUUGUA
Molecule: long non-coding RNA, 213 nt
Filed under: Mustela putorius furo (domestic ferret)
Lineage: Eukaryota; Metazoa; Chordata; Mammalia; Carnivora; Mustelidae
Description: lncRNA (ENSMPUG00000031186.1)
Source: RNAcentral